This 504-nucleotide ribosomal RNA is filed under the name uncultured Glomus. RNAcentral's name for it is "SSU rRNA". It matches the Rfam family "Eukaryotic small subunit ribosomal RNA", at positions 569 to 1077 of the family's 1831-position model. The record is from RNAcentral. Lineage: Eukaryota; Fungi; Glomeromycota; Glomeromycetes; Glomerales; Glomeraceae.
AGCAGCCGCGGUAAUUCCAGCUCCAAUAGCGUAUAUUAAAGUUGUUGCAGUUAAAAAGCUCGUAGUUGAAUUUCGGGGUCAGUAGGUCGGUCGUGCCACUGGUAUGCACUGGUCUCACUGAUUCCUCCUUCUUGAAGAACCGUAAUGUCAUUAACUUGGUGUUGCGGGGAAACAGGACUGUUACCUUGAAAAAAUUAGAGUGUUUAAAGCAGGCCAGCGCCUGAAUACAUUAGCAUGGAAUAAUGAAAUAGGACGUUCGAUCCUAUUUUGUUGGUUUCUAGGAUUGACGUAAUGAUUAAUAGGGAUAGUUGGGGGCAUUAGUAUUCAAUUGUCAGAGGUGAAAUUCUUGGAUUUAUUGAAGACUAACUACUGCGAAAGCAUUUGCCAAGGAUGUUUUCAUUAAUCAAGAACGAAAGUUAGGGGAUCGAAGACGAUCAGAUACCGUCGUAGUCUUAACCAUAAACUAUGCCGACUAGGGAUCGGAUGAUGUUAAUUUUAUAAUGA